GUCCCCAAAUCGAGAAGACAGCACCAGGAGCAGGGGUCUGACAUACACAUGCAUGCAGUCCCUGUUGCAUUGGGGUGAAAUGUUCAUCACUUGGCUGUGGGACUCAAGACCUGCCCAGUGUGUUGAAAGGAAGAUCUGAAGAAGCAAGAUUUAACUUUGUGUGAAGAUUUAUUUAAUCCCUUAAAAGGAGUUUAUCCGUGGGAGAGUGUUAAGAAUUACUAUUUAAAAACUGGAAGAUAAAAACCAUAUACCAAAUACAUUAAAGCAGAACAAGAUGUCCUUAUGUUGACCUUGAUCUAGAAUUAUCCAGAAGACGAGUUUUCUCCAACUGUGGGUGGCACCAUCCCCUGCUGUAGGAUCCAAGAUUGUGCAAACAAGGAUAAAGCUCACCCAACUUGAGAGCUCAUCUGCCUUUGCUUCUUGAGUGUGGAUGCCAUGUGACCAGCUGUCUCCUGCAGCCAUCCAUGCCUUCCCCGACUCAGUGGACUGUAUCCUCAAACUGAUCUCACUUGUGGGAUGGUGCCACCCACAUGGAGGUGGGAAGGCCCACCUCAAGUAACCCAGUGUGUAUGGACCACCCGCCUCACAGACAUGACUGGAGAUUUGUUUCCAUGGUGAUUCCAAGUCCCAUCAAGUUGGCAACCAAAAUUCACCAUCCCACAAUCUGCCUAAGAUUUGUAUCCUGUCAUUACUGUAAGUGAACAAGUAGCAAUUUUCACAGUUUAACUUUUUACUCAUAUCUGUAGCAUUUACCAUGAGAGCAACUGUUUUACCCAGACAGAGUGAUCUUGAGCGUGCAGCAUGUCAUUUCACUUUGUCUUUGUGAAUUGUGCUUAAGAGACAUUUAUCGCAACGUGGAGCUCUGCAGCUAACAGAGGCGACGCUCUCUGGAAGAUGUGAAGAGAAUUGUCCUCCAUAGGCUCUGGCGUUUAAACACUUGGUCCCCGGUUGAUGGCUCUGAUGGGGGAGGUCUAGCUCCGCUGGAGGAAAGCUGGGGAGGGCUUUGAGGUUAUAUAGCCGCCUCCUAUAUCCAGCUCUCCUUCUGGGAGUCCUGCUUGCAGCUGACGUGAGCUCUGUUGCCACUGUAAAGCUUGCCACUGCUGCUCAUCACCGUCAUGGGCACUUAUCUUCCCGGAACCAUAAACCCCAAUAAACUGUCUUUUAUAAGUA
This is a long non-coding RNA of Mesocricetus auratus (golden hamster), 1170 nucleotides long. RefSeq lists it as uncharacterized. The record is from RefSeq and is a predicted model, not a curated record. NCBI's taxonomy places the organism in Eukaryota, Metazoa, Chordata, Mammalia, Rodentia, Cricetidae. The transcript has 3 exons.